CAUCUUCUUCUUCUUCUUGUUUAUCCAUAAUUUCUUCCAACACACCCCACCUACCAUAUAAAUAUCUUUUAUUUCUCUCUACACCUAACCACCAUUAGACAACCACAGAAACCACCGAUAUAUAGUCGAAACCACCAUACCGCCAUCGUCGAUCGUUGCUAGGAAACAAUCAGAACACCGCCGCAACGACCGAAACACCGCCAUAACGACCGGAAAGCUGCCGAAACACCGCCAAAACAACCGGAAAGCUGUUGAAACACCACUGAAACAACCGGAACACCGCAUCUUCGCUUAUCAUCAUAUGCCUCCGCAUCCCUCUGUUUGGGAGGAGAAUAAAAGAACCGAAGGAGCGAAUCACGGACUCCGCCACAGGUGGCAUUUCGCUGCCUCCCAUCUCACUAAAAAGUAUGAGCUUGGCGGUGGCCACCAGUCAAUUUCCGUGACAGAGUGGUUAAGAGUAAGAUCUACUAAACAACAAAAAAAACGUAAGAGAAAGCACAUGAGAUCCGGGCUCUUUGAAGGUCGGAGAUUUGAAUGAUUGAACUAGAAAAGAAGAUCUAGCUCAGAUAAUGGUGGUGUCCGAUUAAUCGGCACCAUUGUGUUGUUGCUGCAACAUGGAUUUGAGUCUUAGCCUUAGACGGAGAAGAAAUAUCCGCCGGAGGAAGCAGCCUUCGGAGAUGAAGUUGCCGGAAGAGAAAUCAGCUACUACGAUGGAAUUCUUGCCUCUACUUUUGCGUGUGAAUUGAAAUCAGGUAGUGGGUGGUAGAUAUGAGUGGUGGUGCAUGGUAGGUUAUGGUGGUGGUGGAGGGUGGUAGGUAAUUACAACAGGUUGUGGUUGUGGAUGGUGAUUGAUGGGGGUCAAGGGUGAUAGUUGGUUUGUGGUGGUGGGUGGUGGUUGUGGUGGUGAUAGGUGGUGGUGGUGGUGAAGGGUGACGUGUGGAUGUUAGGUGGUGGUUAUGAUGGGUGGUGGAUGGGUUGGUGGUGGUGGUGUUGAUGGGUGGGUUAUGACGGGUGGUGGUGGCGUGUGGUGACGUUUGGUGUUGGUGGUAGUGGUAGGCGGUAGGUAGUGAUGGUGGUAGGUGGUAAUGAUAUGGUUGGGUGGUGGCGUGUAGUGGUGAUGGUGGUGACGGGUACUGGUGAUGGGUUGUGGUAGUGGGUAAUUGUGGUGCGUAGGUGAGUGGUGGUUGGUGGGUGGUGGCGGGUGGUGGUUUUGGUGGUUAGUGGACGGUGGCAGGUGGCGGUUUUGGUGGGUGAUGGGUGAUGGUGGUGGUGACGGCGAAUGGUGAUGAUGGGUGGUGGAGGCAGGUGAUGAUGAUGGAUAGUGGUGGGUGGGUGGUGGUUGGAGGUGGGGGUGGUGGUAAUGCAUGGAUAGUUAUGUUUCAGUUUGAGGAUGGUGAUGACUACUCGAUGAGGUUCGGGUUCUAGUUCGAGUUUGGGUUCUGGUUCAGGCUCGGGUUUCGGUGCUAAGCCAAUUGAUGAGAGGUUGUGCAAGUUCAUUUCGGACGAUGGUACUCGUGGUAUCUUGGAUGCUACCAUUAUGUUGUUUGGUACCAUAAAGGAGGGAAUUAUUGAGUUAAUGGAUAAGAGGCUCAGGUCCUUUUGAUCCGAGAUUGCAGCGGGUCAGAUCGGAGCUUGAACUCUCUCAUUUCGAGAGUUGAAGGCUUGUGGAGCUCGUGAGUUCUUUGGGGCUAAGGACCCCAUCGAUGGAUUGCUGACAUGGAGAAUGAUCAAAUGACGAGCUUUUUCCCUAAGGAGGAAAAGGUAGGAUUUGCAUCCUGCCUACUGAGGGACAGAGCACAUGACUGGUGGGAGGAGGUUACCCGAGCCGUAGUGACAGCGGCAGUGGCAGUGAUGACUUGGGAGGAUUUUGUUCAGAGAUUCCAAAGGGAGUUUGCACCAGAUAUCGAGAUGCAACAGCUGGUGAGGGAAUUCUAGGACCUUCUAUAGACAACUAAGACUAUGGCGGAGAUCACCACCAAGUUUAAAGAGAUGGAUCUAUUGGUUCCGCAGUACGCUGUGGAUGAGGAGAUGAAGAAGACGAGGUAUCAUGACAUGUUGAGAGAUGACAUCUGGGGGUUUGUGAGAUUUUCGUCGUGCAAGACCCAAAAUGAUAUGAUUGAGAGGGCCCGUGAGUGGGAGAUUGAGUUGGAGCUUAGGUCGAUGCGCAAGCCAUAGUAGGCACAGACUGUUGUGGGCCAGAGCAAGAAGCCCAAGGUUUCUGAUUCAUAUAGCAAGAUAAUUUCAAAUCAAAUAAUGCAAAUAAUUAGCUAAUCAUAUCAACUAGCAAAUAUCUUAAAAUUUUGACAAUUAUCUUUUAAUUUGGAUGAAGAUAAUCAUUACCUUAUCAUAAAAAAUGAUUUUUAUUAGUCAAAACAGUUUAUGGUAAUGAUUCUAAUCCAAAACUUGGCCAUAAACCUGGAAAUCUGCCCACUAAACAGUCACCACGUCAUGGUAACUAUGACCACGUCGUGGUCAUAAGGCAGAUUCCAAAAAAGAAACUAUUUCCUUGCUUUGAACAAUUACCAAUGCAACAAUAUAACAGAAAACACCCUAGUCUCUGAUACCACUGAUGAGUUUUGAGCACUAUAACAUCCCUAUGGUGCACAUACAACCCUAAUGCUCUGGAUCUAAUUUUUCUCUAAUUAUACAUGCAAUUUGAUUUUUCCAAAUCAUGAAGCCUAACUAACAUACAACUUUGAUAAUUGAAACAAAAAAACAAGUUGGAUGAUUACCUCUUUGUUGUAGCUUGUAGAACUUGUCCUUACAAGAGCUUAGCACCUCAAGUGUGAUGCUUCAAAUGUGUCACAAACACCAAGAACAAUGGAGGACAAUGAGAGAGAGCUUGGAGGCACCUAAAUCGGCUAGCUUCUUCUUAGAAUACUCAUGUGUGCCGAUUUUAGGGCUUUAGGGGUUACAUAUAUAGUGUAGAAUUACAUGGGUCACUUGUAAACCCUAAUCCAUUCACUUAGGCUUUUGAUCCAAUAAUUCAUUUUGGACUAACACUUCGUGAGCUCUCAUAUAAGCUUAGUCUAUUACUAAUCAAUCAUGGAUCAUUAGCCCAAACUAUAUGUAUCACUGAUUUACAUAAUCAGUCCCCGUUAAUUUAAUUAGUCUCUUUUGAUCACUAAAUUAAUUCCAAAUUAAUUCUUGAUCAAUGCCAAUUAAAUAAUAUGAUUUCUCAAUUAAUAUAUUAUACUUAUAAUAUAUUAAUAAAUCACAAAUAACCUCUUUCUCAAAUAUCCAUCCUAUCAAAUUGCUUCGGUGAAGGCAACCCAAAUGGAUCAUGCUACUAUCGAGUCAAGUACAUACCAAUUAUAGUUAUGAGCUUAGACAUUUAAUCCAACAUGCUUUGCAUGGUCCAACUCUCUGUUCAACUGCAAGGGCCGGGAGAUAUUUGUAACAUGGUUGUUCUUGGUUUAUGGCUUAUACCAUGGACACUCGGGUUGAGGAGACAACAUAAUUGAGUGAAGUGUCCAUUAUUCGGGAUUUCCCUGAUGUGUUUAUUGGGGAUUUACCAGGAGUGCCUCCUGAGAGGCAAGUAGAGUUUCAGAUUGAUCUGGUACCUUGUGUAGUCCCGAUAGCCAAGACAACGUAUCUUAUGCUACCAUCUGAGAUGCAGGAGUUGUCUAUGCAGCUUCUAGAGCUGCUAGACAAGGGUUUCAUUCAUCCGAGCAACUCUCUGUGGGGAGCAUCAACCCUGUUUGUGAAGAAGAAAGAUGGUUCACACAAGAUGUGCAUCGAUUACCAGGAGUUGAAUAAGCUAAGGGUGAGAACCGUUACCCACUUCUGAGGAUUGACAACUUGUUUGAUCAGCUUCUGGGUGCCUCUUCGUUUUAGAAGAUAGAUUUGUGAUCUGGGUACCAUCAGAUGAGGGUAAGGAGUGAUGAUGUUCAAAAGAAGGCCUUCGGAACUCGCUAUGGAUAUUACGAGUUUGUGGUGAUGCCAUUUGGGCUCACCAACACGCCAGCAAUCUUCAUGGAGCUCAUGAACCGAGUUUGCAGACCGAUGUUGGAUCGAUCUGUGAUUGUAUUCUUUGAUGAUAUUCUGGUCUACUCCAAGACCAAGGAGCAGCAUGAGGAUCAUCUACGAGAUGUGUUGGAGACCCUGAGGAAGGAGAGGCUUUAUGCCAAGUUCCCCAAGUGUGAGUUCUAGUUGCGCGAAGUGCAAUUUUUGGGGCACAGCGUCAACUAGAAUUGUAUAUUGGUCGACCCGGUCAAGAUCGAGGUUGUGAUGCGGUGGGAGGUUUCAAGCAUGGUUGUCAAAAUUGCAAUCCUGAUCGUAGGAUCAUACAAUUCUACGAUCCUAGGUAUGAAAAAUGAUUCAGAUCGUAAACAGAUCGUAUUUGGGGUAGGAACGUAAGAUCGUAAGUAGGAUCGUAGGAUCGAGAUCCAACCCGAUCCUACCUUCGCUUGUUUUUUUUUGCGCAUGAAUAUUUUUUUACCUCUUUAUGUUUUUCACCAUUUACCAAUUUACCGUUUAUCAUUUUGUGUUAUGACUUAUGACUAAUAUUUCGAAGUUUUUAUAACUUUUGAACGAAAAAUUGAAUGUUUGAAAUAUUUUUCACGAUUAAAAAUUAUAAAUUAAAAUUAUGUUUUACUUUGUAGGAUCUUCAGAUCCCGAUCCCGAUCUUACGAUCUCGAUCUUACAAACCCAAAAACGAUCCUACAUAGGAUCCCGAUCUUGACAACCUUGGUUCCGAGGACCGCAUCUGAGAUUUGGAGUUUCAUAGGUCUCGCAUGGUAUUUUCGGAGUUUUAUCCAGGAUUUCUCCAAGAUUGCAAUGUCAUUGACCCGCUUGAUGAAAAAGAAUUUGACCUUUCAGUGGGGGCAUGGCCAACAGUUAGCUUUUGAGAUCCUGAGGCAAAGAUUGUGUGAGGCCCUAAUUCUCACGCUCCCGGAGAGCUUGGAUGAUUUUGUAAUUUAUUGUGAUGCCUUUAUUUCGGGUUUGGAAGCGGUGCUUAUGCAGAUAAGUCACAUGAUUGCUUACAUCUCGAGGCAUCUGAAGCCUCAUGAGGUGAACUACCUUAUGCAUGAUUUGGAGUUAGGGGUCGUGGUUUUUGCCCUCAAUAUUUGGAGACACUAUUUGUAUGGGUUUCGAUGCUCUAUCUACACGAAACACAAAAUUUUGAGGUAUUUUAUGGACUAGCCGAAUCUGAAUAUGUGGUAGCGGAGAUGCUUGGAUGUCGGAAAGGAUUAUGAUUGCGAGAUCUCAUACCAUCCUGAGAAGGAAAAUAUGGUGGCCGAUGCUUUGAGCUACAAGGUUGGGAGUUCAUCUAUCAGAUAUACCUGUUUGAGGAUGAUUGUCACUUUGCCUUUGAUGGAUUCAAUCAAGAAGCCUCAGGUAGAGGGGUUGAAAAAAGAAAACUGGAAGACCGAGUAGAUCAGAGGACGGGUUCCCUUAUUUAUCAGAGAUAGCCAAGGGUUGUUAACUCGGUAUAGUAGAGUCUGGGUUCCAACAUUGGGUGGGGUGAGGCGGAUGGUUUUAAAGGAGGUGCAUAAGUUAAAGUUUGCUAUCCACCCAAGAGCCACGAAGAUGUACAAAGAUCUUAGGUUGAGCAAUUGGUGGCCCUGCAUGAAGAGAGAAAUAGCUUGGUUUGUGGAGUGGUGCUUGACUUGUAGGAAAUUCAAGCCCGAGCAUCAAAGACCCCAUGAAAAGAUACAACCUUUACCCAUUCUCAUGUAGAAGUGGGAAGAAAUUACUAUGGAUUUCAUCCCAAAAUUGCGUAGGACGGCAUGAAGUUUUGACUCCAUCUGGUUCAUUGUUGAUAGGUUGACCAAGAGUACAUAGUUCAUACCGAUUGCCGAGAGUAUAUCCGCAGAGAAGUUAGCGGACAUCUAAGUUCGGGAGGUAGUAGUUCGGCACAGGGUGUUGGUAUUGUUGAUUUCCGAUCAGGAUGUUAGGUUCACCUCUUGAUUUUGGAGGAAGUUCCAUGUGAAGUUAGGUACUCAAUGCACUUUAGUGCAACAUACCACCCUCAGACCGAUGGCCAGAGCGAGCGAACGAUUUAGACGCUCGCAGAUAUGCUCUAGGAUUAUGUGUUGGAUUUUGGAGGGAGUUGGGAUACUUACCUUCCAUUAGUUGAUUUCUCCUACAACAACAGUUAUCAUGCCAGUAUUGACUGACCACCAUUUGAUAUGUUGUAUGGAAGGAAGUGUAGGACUCCGGUUUGCUAGGGGGAGAGGUUGGGCAUCGAGUCAUGGGUAGUACAGAGGUUGUACUCAAGACUACAUAGUUGAUCCAUAGAUUACGGGUCGUGCAGAGUCGGUAUAAGAGUUAUGCAGAUCGACAGCGUUCAGAUCUCGAGUUUCAGGUGGGAGACUUGGUGCUUCUGAAGGUGUCACCUUGGAAAGGUGUCAUCCGAUUCAGGAAGUGAGGCAAGUUGAGCCCCAGAUUCAUUGGGCCUUUCAGGAUCUCAUCCCGGGUGGGCAAGGUCGCAUAUCGGUUGGAUUUGCCAGAUGAGAUCAACCAGAUUCAUAACACCUUCCAUGUGUUUUAGCUUCGGAAGUUUGUGGCCGAUGAGUUUGCAGUUAUUCCUCUGGAUGAGAUAUAGUUUGAUGAUCAUCUAAUUAUGUGGAGAGACCGAUGAAGAUUUUAGAUCGAAAUACGAAGGAUCUAUUCAACAAGGAAGUGUCAUUGGUCAAGGUCCAAUGGCAACAUCAGAAAGAUUCUAAAUGGACGUGGGAGCCGGAGGCGGAGAUGCGAGAGAUGUUAGGUCAUAAAUCGUGGUUUAUACUUUGCUUUUCAUAAGAUACUAGAUUUCUCGGUCUAGGACUGAAAACACCAUGUUUUGGUGUUGUUUGGGCCGAAAUCACAUGUGAUUUCGGUUAGGUUUAAUAUUCUUUUGUUUGGGUUUUGGGUUGGGCCUUUGCUAUUAGGUCUAAGUAUAAAUAGUGUCAUUUGAGCCUUGUAAUCAAAGGGGGACGUUUUGAGGGUUGCUAUAUGCUUAGAACGUGAUUUGGAGAGAAAAUAAAAGAGAACCAAGUGUAAUCAAGAAUCUUAUGUACCUGACUAUUCAAUAAUAGUGUGCAUUGAAGAUUAAUCGUUGUGUUCUUAUUCUAUAUCUCCUCUUCUCUAAUUCACUUGAUUGGGAUUCCGCACCUUCAAGUGAAUCUGAUUGAUACAUCGUAGUAUUUUGGGGUUUACAAUUGGUAUUAAAGCUUGGAUCGAUAUCAAUCGGGUCAUUGCAAACAGUUUUUAUUGGAGUUUCUUGGUGUUUUUGAUUUAUAUUUUACGAAUUUAUGGUUGUUUGUUCUUCGUGUUCUUUAUAUUUUUUGAGUUUUUAUCGAAUUUGGUCUUAAAAUUAAAAAAGUUUGUGUCUUUGGCAAGUUUUGAGUGAUAUUUGGUCAAAAUCUACGAAAUCUCGGAAGCCAGCCUUGUAUUCGGUCAUAUCCUCGGAAAUCUCAGCGACAGAUUCGCUCUCGGAUUAGGUCAGCAACAGUUUUCGGCGGCAGCAAGGGUUCUCAAUGCGAGGGUUUUCGGAGCGAGGUUCUCGGCUUCGGAAGUUCUCGGUCUCGCUGUUUUCGGCUUCGCAGGUUCUCGAUCGGACUUCUCAGCCUUGCAAUUUCGGUCAGCAGUUCUCGGUCUGAGAUUUUGCCCUCGCAACUUCGGCUGUAAUUUCGGAUUUUCAAGAUUUUGGCUUGUUUUUGGUCCAAAAACCACGUUUUCGAAUCUAAGGCCUCAUAUUUGGUCAAAAGGCCACAUAUUCGGUCAAAUAACUUCGUUUUUGGUCUAGAAAUUUUCGUUUUCGGUUUAUAAAUUUUUGUUUUCGAUCAAGGUUAUUUUUUUGGACAAAAAGUUUGAUUUUCAUGUUUGACUUUCAAAUUUGACUUUUGACUUUCAAUUUUGACUUGUAAGUUUGACUUUCAAGUUUGACUUUCGAGGUUUCAAGUCAAAUGACAUUUUUCUUGGCUUCAUAAUCAGAUCUAUUUUUGGUAAAUUAUUCUUUUUGGUGAAUAAUGAGUACUUCAAUCACCAAGGUUAAUGAAGCUUCAUGCUCUCAGUCCUGUGUAGAUAAAGUUAAUAAAUAUCGUGAGCGUAAUGAGUUAUUAGUUAGAGAGGUUUUUGACCUUAAAAAUGACAUUUAUGAAAUUAGAAAAGUCAACAAACCUCUUAAAGAAAAACUAGAUGCUCAAAACAAAGAUUUAAUUAGAAUGAGGGAAGAAUAUAGCACCAAAUGUGUCCAUCACCGUUAUGCCAAAGAGGAAAUUGUCAAAUUAACUGCUAAACUUGAUGCAUUAAAGGCUAAAUUUAAGGAUGUUGACUUUACUUUUAAGAAAUUUGAU
Long non-coding RNA from Lactuca sativa (garden lettuce), 8282 nucleotides. RefSeq lists it as uncharacterized. NCBI's taxonomy places the organism in Eukaryota, Viridiplantae, Streptophyta, Magnoliopsida, Asterales, Asteraceae. The record is from RefSeq and is a predicted model, not a curated record.